GACGAACGCUGGCGGCGUGCUUAACACAUGCAAGUCGAACGAUGAAGCCGGAGCUUGCUCUGGUGAAUUAGUGGCGAACGGGUGAGUAACACGUGAGUAACCUGCCCUUGACUCUGGGAUAACUGCGGGAAACUGUAGCUAAUACCGGAUACGACCCUCGGAGGCAUCUCCUGGGGGUGGAAAGAAUUUCGGUCAAGGAUGGACUCGCGGCCUAUCAGCUAGUUGGGGAGGUAAAGGCUCACCAAGGCGACGACGGGUAGCCGGCCUGAGAGGGGGACCGGCCACACUGGGACUGAGACACGGCCCAGACUCCUACGGGAGGCAGCAGUGGGGAAUAUUGCACAAUGGGCGCAAGCCUGAUGCAGCAACGCCACGUGAGGGAUGACGGCCUUCGGGUUGUAAACCUCUUUUAGCAGGGAAGAAGCGAAAGUGACGGUACCUGCAGAAAAAGCACCGGCUAACUACGUGCCAGCCGCCGCCGUAA
Molecule: ribosomal RNA, 484 nt
Filed under: uncultured bacterium
Lineage: Bacteria
Description: partial 16S ribosomal RNA
Rfam family: Bacterial small subunit ribosomal RNA
Source: RNAcentral